UAAGUAUGUUUAUUUUAUAAUAGAGUUUUUAUGUAAAAAUCAAAAUUAUGAUUAUAUAAAUGUACUUUAUGGUUUACAUUCGUAUAUUUCAAUUUAUUCAAAUAUCUAUUAUUCUUGUAUGUUAUCAUUUAAUAAAGAACUAGCUGAAAAAUAUAUAUCAGAAAAAAAAAAAAAUGCAAACCCUUUAAACAGUGAAAAGGAUGUAUGUUGUUCUGCAGAAUAUAAAGAUAACACACGUACUAAUAAUUCACACAAAAUGGAUCUAUAUAAUGAUGAUAAUUUUAGUUUGUAUUAUGAAUACAUAAAUCUGUACGCUAAUAAAGAUUUAAUGGAAUUAAAUGAAAAGUUGUUAUAUUUUAUUUCAAAAGAGAAAUUAAAAAAAACAAAUUGUAGUACUAAUGACAUUUUUCAAGAUUUGAAUAUAUAUAAGCAUGCUACUAAUUUGAUAAAAAAUUUUUUUUUUACUGGUAUAUAUGUAUGUGCGAGCACAAACACAGGCAAUAAUACAGAUACGAGUGUAGUAGACACAUGUACAAAUACAAACUGUAAUUUACAAUAUCAUAAUAACCACUACAGUAACAUCACCAAGUAUAAUAAUAUUUAUAUCACAAUUAUAAGCAGAAUAUACGAUUUCACUCAACAAUGUCCUUUAUAUUAUGAACCAAAUUUAAAACUGUGCUCAUCUUAUUUACCCAAUGAAAAAAAUAAUUCUAUAAGUCAUGAUAUUUUAAAAAAUGUAUUAAGUGAUACAACAUACUUUGAUCAAAGUAAGAGUUCAUAUAAUAAUGAUGUAAGUAAUAUUUUCAAAAACAAUAAAAAUUGUCAUCACUUUUUUGAAAAUGUACAAUUUAAUAUAGACAAUAUGUUUUUUAAACAAUGUUUAAAGAAAUGUGAUACAUUGAAAAAACCAAUCGAGUUGGGAAUUAUUGAAGAAGAUGUUACUGAUAGUUGGACUAAAAACAAUAAAACUAUUAAUAAUAAUAUUCUUAACGGAACUACAAUUUGUAGUGACACGUACAAUAGUGAUAGCAACUGCAGUAGUACCAUAAGUGAUAGUAUCGACAAUUCAUGGUUAACCGAAAAAAAACAUUUUUUAAAUAG
This 1101-nucleotide long non-coding RNA is filed under the name Piliocolobus tephrosceles (Ugandan red Colobus). RNAcentral describes it as "lncRNA (ENSPTEG00000007425.1)". Lineage: Eukaryota; Metazoa; Chordata; Mammalia; Primates; Cercopithecidae. The record is from RNAcentral.